This 1584-nucleotide ribosomal RNA is filed under the name Triticum aestivum (bread wheat). RNAcentral's name for it is "partial small subunit ribosomal RNA". The record is from RNAcentral. Lineage: Eukaryota; Viridiplantae; Streptophyta; Magnoliopsida; Poales; Poaceae.
AUGAACUACAUGCUCGAGAAGGAGUACACCGCAGCCGAGGUAAAGGCCACAUUAUUUGAAAUGGCGCCGUCGAAAGCGCCAGGCGUGGAUGGUUUCACAAUCGGAUUCUACCAAUGACACUGGGAUGUCGUCGGGGGUGACAUUACCUUGGCUAUACUGAGCUUUUUGAAUGAAGGGGAGCUCCCUUUGGGGCUCAACGAUACGGCCAUCAUGCUGAUCCCAAAGGUCAGGUACCCACAGAAGAUUUCUCAGUAUUGACCAAUAGCUUUAUGUCCAGUUUUGUACAAGAUUGCCGUCAAGACUGUGGCAAACAGACUCUGUCUCAUAUUGGAUGAUGUCAUAGGGGACGAACAGAGCGCGUUUGUGCCGGGACGCUUGAUCAUGGACAACGUUCUAGUGGCCUACGAGUGCAUCCAUGCUAUCAGAAAAAGAAAGAAGGGCAAGAACUAUAGUUGUGCUGUGAAACUGGAUAUGCUCAAGGCGUAUGAUCGUGUGGAGUGGCACUACCUAGAAGCCAUGCUGGUGUUGUUGGGCUUCGACGACAGCUUCAUCAGCCUUAUAAUGAAAUGUGUCACUUAUGUUAGAUUCACAAUCAAGGUUAACAGUGAGUUGCUGCCAUACUUUAACCCAUCUAGGGGGCUUCAGCAAGGCUGUCCAGUCUCACCUUACAUGUUCCUUGUCUACGCUCAAGGACUCACAUCACUUCUCAACAAUUAUGGUGGUGCACGCAUCGACAGAGGCAUUCAUGUGAGUAUCCAUGCACCAUGGGUUAGUCAUCUAUUAUUUGCUGACGAUAGUCUCAUUUUUCUUGGUGCUAAGACAAAAAGUGCAGAGAGGCUCAAUGAAAUUCCGCAAAUCUAUGCUGACUGUUCGGGUCAGGCGGUGAAUAAGGAGAAGAGCUCCAUUUUCUUCAGUGGCAACUUGGGACAGCCCCUCCGUGCACAUAUAAAACAUGUGCUCAGGAUAUCAGCCGAGGCGUUUUCUGAGAGCUAUCUAGGCUUACCCACAACCAUUGGAAGAAUCACUAGCAGAACUUUCCAACAUAUCAGUGAACGUAUCCGCAGCAAGAUAAGUGGAUGGUCAGAGAGGAACUUAGCCUGUGCAGGGAGGGAGGUCUUACUAAAAUCUAUUACCCAAGCAAUCCCAACUUACAGUAUGAGUUGCUUCCUGCUGACCAAGAAAGUGUGCAAGGAUAUCACUUCACCUAUGGCCAAGUACUGGUGGGAAAGCUCCAUUAAUAAGCGAUCCCUGCACUGGCUGGCGUGGAAUAAAUUGACAGUGCCAAAAAUCAAAGGAGGUUUGGGCUUUCGGGAUCCCCAAUUAUUCAAUCUAGCAAUGCUUGGCAAACAAGGAUGGUGUAUCCCGACUAACCCAGACCCUUUGUGUUCAAGGGUGUUGAAAGGAAAGUACUUCCUGAUGAGGAUACAGACCCAGGAUAGGGUCAUAGGCCUGACCUAUACGCCCUACCCAAGGUCACUACCCCAGAAUCAAAGAAGUCCAAGAGAUGACAAAGAACCCCCAGUCAAAGGUGUCGAGUGCAAUCCACUCGACCAAUCAUAUCACUCGGGUACCCUUCUUACCUGA